RNAcentral lists this small RNA (451 nucleotides) under Histoplasma capsulatum. RNAcentral's name for it is "hypothetical RNA". RNAcentral also lists the same sequence under 1 other name. The record is from RNAcentral. Lineage: Eukaryota; Fungi; Ascomycota; Eurotiomycetes; Onygenales; Ajellomycetaceae.
AUAAAGUAUAUCAAAAGAACUCUCUAAUCAGCUCUAAAAAGAAAUCUGAUAGAUUUUCUAAACUUUCUAUUUGUAAUAAAUACUGAUUAAUAUAUACUAUCUCAUUCAAAACCCUUUCUAAAGUCUCUACACAAACAAACUCAGUGAAAAUUAUGUUAUAAUUAUAAGAAUUGACAUCUAGAAGAUUGAGUCUGUGCAAGCUUUUUAGAUAAGUCAAAUUUUAAGAUUGACUUGAAUAUAUCAAGUAUAUUUUAGAGAUGUAGACUGCUAUAGACUGAGAUUUCAAAUCAGAGUUGAUUUUUCUUUUAUCUGAAGUCUGAAUGAAUUCCUCACACUAUAUUAGCAUUCUAUCUGAAUUUAACUAUUCUCAUUAUAAGAGAAGCUCUGAGAAACAUGAAAUUGUAUAUUGAAUAGAUACUGAUGUAUUUUAUCAUAUCUCUAAGACAGUAAA